CGGAGUUCAGUCUUCCCAGGCCCACCACUUUCAUCGAGUGAGCAUUCGUCUUCUGGUUACGGGGCCAUAGCUCAGCUGGGAGAGCGCGUGCUUUGCAAGCAUGAGGUCGUCGGUUCGAUCCCGUCUGGCUCCACCAGAUGGUUUGAUCACCGAGAUCUUGACCGUCGUCCGCGAAACAUCACUUCGCAUCCUGCUAGUCUGGAUAGACAGCAGUUUGCGUGUUUUCUGACAUCGUAAAGAGGAGAUCGAUCCGAGUUGGGUCGUGCAGCAUAUCGUUGCGCGAGCCUUCAUUAUCUCCGGAUCAUUUCGGCGCUCGCUUCCAGCCGUGAGGUUGGAUGCGGGUUGUAAAUGAUCCUUUUAGCGAAGCUUGACCGCCUCGCUAUCGGAACGAUCUUACGAAGCAAGCUGGUCUUUCUAGUCAAUGUCCGGCUGCGGAUAGCGUUCAUCGAGGGCGCGUGCCGCAAGGCAAUUCUGCAGACAACAUUCUGCCGAGUGUGUGGACAUUGAUAAUGAGAGCAAUCAAGUGCCUUAAGGGUGUUCGGUGGAUGCCUUGGCGCUGAGAGGCGAUGAAGGACGUGCUACGCUGCGAUAAGCCGUGGGGAGCUGCGAAGAAGCUUUGAUCCGCGGAUUUCCGAAG
Molecule: unclassified non-coding RNA, 637 nt
Filed under: Bradyrhizobium sp.
Lineage: Bacteria; Pseudomonadati; Pseudomonadota; Alphaproteobacteria; Hyphomicrobiales; Nitrobacteraceae
Also listed under: 1 other name
Description: partial 16S-23S ribosomal RNA intergenic spacer
Rfam family: Bacterial large subunit ribosomal RNA (bases 518-637)
Source: RNAcentral